GACGAACGCUGGCGGCGUGCCUAACACAUGCAAGUCGAGCGGAGUCAGUAAGAGGAAGUUUUCGGAUGGAAUCUUGCUGGUUUAGCGGCGGACGGGUGAGUAACGCGUGAGCGACCAACCUUGCACAGGGGGAUAACGGACCGAAAGGUUCACUAAUACCGCAUGAGACCACGGUGUUGCAUGACACAGGGGUCAAAGGAGCAAUCCGGUGCAAGACGGGCUCGCGUCCGACUAGGUAGUUGGAGGGGUAACGGCCCACCAAGCCUAUGAUCGGUAGCCGACCUGAGAGGGUGAUCGGCCACAUUGGAACUGAGAUACGGUCCAAACUCCUACGGGAGGCAGCAGUGGGGAAUAUUGGGCAAUGGGGGAAACCCUGACCCAGCAACGCCGCGUGAAGGAAGAAGGUUUUCGGAUUGUAAACUUCUGCCCUUGGUGAAGAGAAGAAGACGGUAGCCAAGGAGGAAGCCCCGGCUAACUACGUGCCAGCCGCCGCCGUAA
RNAcentral lists this ribosomal RNA (498 nucleotides) under uncultured bacterium. Its description in RNAcentral is "partial 16S ribosomal RNA". It matches the Rfam family "Bacterial small subunit ribosomal RNA", at positions 28 to 523 of the family's 1533-position model. The record is from RNAcentral.